GAGGAGAGAGAAAGUCCACAUCUGGCUUGGUAGUCUGCUGAGGUGGAGAGAAGGGGCGUCGGCCAGUCCCCUCCCCAACUUGGGGAGGAUGGCGACCUGAGGUAGGGGAGAGGAAGGGCGAUUUGACCAGAUAUGCUUCCUGUCCAUCGGCUGCUCAGUGAGAAAUGCCUUGGCUGCCUGCCUGUCAUCUCUCUCGAAGGACAUCAGGACAAUCAACCAAACAACAAAUGAAGCCCUGAUUGAGAGGGAUUACUGAUUUCCAAGGUGUGAAUGCUCGCACUGCAAAUUUAACAAUCCGCUCUGGAGAGUCCACCUGUGCUCGUAUGCGGCUAAUGCUUGUAAGACACAUACAACAUACUGUAGAGGCAGAAGGUAAUGGGGCAAGACAUGAGCAGCUGAGGAGAUCGAGAAAAGAAAGCUGCAGAAGGAGGUUCUGA
Molecule: long non-coding RNA, 437 nt
Filed under: Phascolarctos cinereus (koala)
Lineage: Eukaryota; Metazoa; Chordata; Mammalia; Diprotodontia; Phascolarctidae
Description: lncRNA (ENSPCIG00000035344.1)
Source: RNAcentral